Capsicum annuum is the source of this 3537-nucleotide RNA transcript. It is a transcript of the gene named probable apyrase 7, with no coding region annotated. The transcript has 4 exons. The record is from RefSeq and is a predicted model, not a curated record. NCBI's taxonomy places the organism in Eukaryota, Viridiplantae, Streptophyta, Magnoliopsida, Solanales, Solanaceae.
GAAGUGAUAAAAAAAUUUUCCCUAAUAAUAUAAAUGCAAAUUCAACCUUUUUUUUAUUCAAGAAAUUUUUUGAGGAAAAAUAAAAAAAAGGUUUAGAAGAGGUUAAGAAGAAGAAGUAAGAAGAGUGAUUCAAACGCGUAAGACUCUGUUUGUUUGUUCUUAUAUUCUUCACAAAUCUCCUUUCAGAUCUCCUUCAUUCUUAACGAUCUAAACGCCACAACCAAACGAUUCACACUAAUUUUUUUACUGCACCGACAAUGUUUUUUGUUCCCCUUCACCGAUCCGACACUUCUCCUUUACAGGUUCAAUUAGUGCAUCAUGUGCUAUGCUUAUGAGACUUAUUGCUGUAUGAUGAUAGUCAAUGAGCUUUUCAUGUACAAUGCAAGAAUGGACGAGAAAACUCUGGCUUGAAGAGUAACCUUGCUUAGAAUUUGUAAUCUCUGCAAGCAUGGUGCUUAACAAAGUCACUGAAAUUGUGUCUGCUGCAGUGGCUCGUUUCUCGACCCCAACGACGUCUAACAAUCCAUAUCCAUCAUCGGGGUUACCACCUCUUCCAGGUUCACUUAAUGUUUCUAGCUUAGAUCAGAAGAACAAGUUGAGACUUUCCUCAUCCCUUCAAGAUCUUUCUGCAUACCGGCGGCUUGAUCUGGAAGAUGGUGGUCCCAACUCUGAUAUAGAGAGGGAUUCAGCUAAUUUAAAACGGCUAAAUCUUUUCAAGAGAGAAAAUUUGGGUACAAGCUUCUCCAAGGUGAAAGGGACACCAAUAGUCACUUCUGCACGAACGAAAUGGACACGGGUUAUCUUAGUUCUCCUGUGCUUGCUAUUGGUUGCAUUUCUCCUAUAUGUGGUGUUUUUCCAUUUUAACUUAUUCCACGGAGAGUCAAAGUAUUAUGUUGUGCUUGAUUGUGGGAGCACCGGGACUCGUGUUUAUGUAUAUCAAGCAUCCCCUAACUAUAAAAAAGAUAAUGAUCUCCCUAUUGUAUUGAAAUCACUGCCAGAGAGUUUCCAAAGAAACUCAAGAUUACAGAGUGGACGGGCUUACAACAGAAUGGAGACAGAACCGGGAUUUGACAAGUUGGUGCACAACACGUCUGGCUUGAAAAGAGCAAUUAAGCCACUAAUUAAAUGGGCAGCGAAGCAAAUCCCUAGACAUGCACAUAAAACUACUUAUCUCCAUCUUUAUGCUACGGCUGGGGUUCGCAGGCUGCCAAAUUCAGACUCAGAAUGGCUUCUUAACAAUGCUUGGUCCAUUCUGAAAAGUUCCCCUUUUUUGUGCAAGAGGGAAUGGGUCAAAACUAUCACUGGCAUGGAGGAAGCCUAUUUUGGAUGGAUAGCUAUGAAUUAUCAUACUGGUAUAUUGGGGGCAACUCCUAAAAAGGGAACAUUUGGUGCACUUGACUUAGGUGGCUCAUCACUGCAGGUUACUUUUGAGAGCAAGGAACAUGUCCCUGAUGAAACUAGCUUAGAGCUGAAUAUUGGUGCCGUUAAUCAUCAUCUCACUGCUUAUUCCUUAGAAGGAUAUGGCCUGAAUGAUGCUUUUGACAAGUCUGUUGUUCAUCUUAUCAAGAGGCUUCCCAAGAUCAGUGAUGCAUAUCUCUCCAGUGGAAAUAUUGAGAUCAAGCAUCCGUGUCUGAAUUCUGGUUACAAGGAGCAAUAUAUCUGUACUCACUGUGUUUCCCUAUACCAAGAAGGUGGCAAUCCUUCCACUAGGAAAGAAGUUUUUGGUAGAGGGGGAAAGCCUGGAGUUCGCGUUCAGCUUGUUGGAGCUCCAAAAUGGGAAGAAUGCAAUUCACUUGCAAAAUCUGCUGUUAAUUUGUCUGAAUGGUCUAACAAAAGUUCAGGAAUUGAUUGUGAGUUGCAGCCCUGUGCUCUUGCAGAAAAUCUUCCUCGUCCCUUUGGCCAGUUCUAUGCUAUGUCUGGUUUCUUUGUGGUAUAUCGUUUUUUCAACUUGACCCCUGAUGCUGCACUGGAUGAUGUAUUAGAAAAGGGUCAUGAAUUUUGUGAUAAGGCUUGGGAUGUUGCAAAGACUAGUGUUGCACCUCAGCCUUUCAUAGAACAGUAUUGCUUCAGGGCACCAUACGUUGUCUCUUUGCUGAGAGAAGGCUUGCAUAUCACUGAUAGUCAGGUAACCAUUGCUUCGGGGAGUAUUACUUGGACACUAGGUGUUGCGCUGUCGGAAGCUGGAAAGGCAGUUUCAACUGGGGUGCAACUUAUUAGUUACAAGCUAUUGCUCAUGAAGAUGCACCCAGUUGUUCUUCUUGCUAUUUUGUUUGCUUCAUUAGCUGUUCUUCUUUGUGCAUUAUCAUAUGUUGGCACGUGGAUGCCCAGGUUCUUCCGUAGGGCAUAUCUUCCCCUUUUCAGGAAUAAUAGCGCUUCAUCCACAUCUAUAAUCAACAUUCCAGCACCUUUCAAUUUCAAACGGUGGAGUCCUGUUAUUACAGGCGAAGGAAGAGUGAAGACGCCACUCAGUCCAACAGUUGCAAAUACUCAACAGAGACCAUUUGACACUCAUGGUUUUGGUGGCAAUGGUAUCCAGCUUUCUGAAUCUUCCUUAUACUCAUCAUCCAGUAGUGUAGCACACAGUUUCUCAUCAGGUAGCUUGGGGCAGAUGCAAUAUGAAAGUAGUACCACGGGUUCCUUCUGGUCACCACACAGAAGCCAACAGCGUCUCCAGAGCAGGAGAUCCCAAUCACGAGAAGAUCUUAUUUCUUCACUGUCUACUGAAAUGCCCUUGCCAAAGGUGUAAAUCUGAUGGUAAUAUUUCUUUCAGAAGAGAAAUCAUGGGGCUGAUGAUUUCUAAUGGCUCACUUGGUGAUUGGCAAAUUACCAUCGGCUAUGAAUCACAUAACAUGCGCCUUUCCUGCAUUCUCCUUUAGAGACAUCAUCAUAAUGAGACGCAAGGAAAGCUUAUUCAUCCGAUAUUACCUAACAUAGAUUCACAACACGGAUAUUAUCAGUCAAGAGAAGUCUGACAUCGUUAAUCAAGGCAGCUGUGCAGAACAACAGAGAACUUUUUAUCAUGUGAAACUUGAGAGAGAUUUGCCUCCUGUGAAUGCUAGGGGUUACCAAUGCAAUUCCAAUUUGAUUGUCCAAAAUUUCACAUGGUCUGAUGGGAGUGGUGCAAUUGCAUUCUGCAGAAGCCAUGAGUGGCAGAGGUUCUCUAAUAGGGUCCUUGAUGUGAAUGAGGUUGCCGGCUUGUAAAUGGUCAAAUUGGUACUCUGCUUGAUUAGGCUAGCUCGAGAUUUUGAAUCCAGCAUUUUCAGAACCUACAAGUCUAAAUGUUUGGUAGAAUACACAGGUAAGAGCAUUGAAAAGGUCACUGAGCUGGCUUGGUUUAGAAAAGGAAAUUUCAUGAACAAAUUGUAAAUGGUUUGUAAAAAUAUGCAAGUUAUUGUCAUCCACCUUACUUGACCAUGUAAGGUGUUGCAAAGCAACUGCUCUCAUUUUAUUGUAACUCUUCAAGAUAUCAAAAGUGAUCACUCAACCACAUAAUUGUGCGAGUUAACUCACUAAUUAACAUAUAUGAUGUGUUGCGAA